GAUACGUCUUCAGAGUUUGAUCCUGGCUCAGGAUAAACGCUGACAGAAUGCUUAACACAUGCAAGUCUAUGAUGGUUAGCUAAGCCUAGCUUAGAAGAAGUCAUGGCGGACGGGUGAGUAACGUGUAAAGAACUUGCCCUCUAGACUGGGAUAACAGAUAGAAAUGUCUGAUAAUACCGGAUAUUAUUGUUACAUGGCAUCAUGUAGGAAUGAAAGGAUAAGAUUGCUAGAGGAGAGCUUUGCAUCCUAUUAGCUAGUUGGUAAGAUAGCGGCUUACCAAGGCGAUGAUAGGUAGCCGGCCUGAGAGGGUGGACGGCCACAAGGGGACUGAGAUACGGCCCUU
This 343-nucleotide ribosomal RNA is filed under the name uncultured bacterium. Its description in RNAcentral is "bacterial SSU rRNA". It matches the Rfam family "Bacterial small subunit ribosomal RNA", at positions 1 to 334 of the family's 1533-position model. The record is from RNAcentral.